Podarcis lilfordi (Lilford's wall lizard) is the source of this 73-nucleotide non-coding RNA. NCBI's taxonomy places the organism in Eukaryota, Metazoa, Chordata, Lepidosauria, Squamata, Lacertidae. The record is from the annotation of a GenBank genome assembly.
GCUGGGAUAGCUCAGUUGGCAGAGCAUGACAAUCUGAAUCUCAGGUCUGUGGGUUUGAGCCCCACGUUGGGCA